ACAGACAAAGAGGUCUUCGAUUCUAUAAAAGUGCCCCCUCUUUCCUCCAAACUUCCUGCUCCACUCGAUUCUCAAACUUAGAGGUUCUUCAAACAGCUUUCAUAGUUCAUACUCUGUUUUUUGUUCUUAGCUUAACAUAUAGGCACCCACACUUGCAACGAAAUGGAAUCAAAUGUUUCUCCCAACUCCACCAAGAAGCAAAACCAAAGCCUCCCACCAAAGAGGGGCCAAGUUAAGAUGAGAAUCCUCAAGACAAUCCUAAAAUCGGUGAGUUCAAUGGCGUCGACGGGGACGCCCAAGGAAAGUGGCCCACAGCUUAGCUCAUCAUCCACAACACCGACGGGCUACCUUUCUGAUUGAUCUUUAAACUCAGAUGAAAUGAUACCUUAUUUUCAAUAUUUUUUGUACAAGGUGGGUCUAAGUGGCCGUAUAAUUUUCUCCUCUUUUUUGGGUUUACUUAGGCAACAGAUUGUAGUUUCUUUUUUAUGUAAAUAUAAUUCCUCCUUUUUGUACAUCAGUCAUGUAGUUUGAAUGUUUGAUAAAAUAGGUAUCACCAUAAUUUUUCGUUUUUCAAAUGCAUUUAUAUCCAAAUUGGAAUUGGU
RNAcentral lists this long non-coding RNA (602 nucleotides) under Gossypium barbadense (sea-island cotton). RNAcentral describes it as "long non-coding RNA (GBAR_LNC006049)". Lineage: Eukaryota; Viridiplantae; Streptophyta; Magnoliopsida; Malvales; Malvaceae. The record is from RNAcentral.